CCUACGGGAGGCUGCAGUGGGGAAUAUUGGACAAUGGGGGGAACCCUGAUCCAGCCAUGCCGCGUGUGUGAAGAAGGCCCUCGGGUUGUAAAGCACUUUCAGUGAGGAAGAACGCCUGGUGGUUAAUACCCAUCAGGAAAGACAUCACUCACAGAAGAAGCACCGGCUAACUCCGUGCCAGCAGCCGCGGUAAUACGGAGGGUGCGAGCGUUAAUCGGAAUUACUGGGCGUAAAGCGCGCGUAGGUGGCUUGAUAAGCCGGUUGUGAAAGCCCCGGGCUCAACCUGGGAACGGCAUCCGGAACUGUCAAGCUAGAGUGCAGGAGAGGAAGGUAGAAUUCCCGGUGUAGCGGUGAAAUGCGUAGAGAUCGGGAGGAAUACCAGUGGCGAAGGCGGCUUUCUGGACUGACACUGACACUGAGGUGCGAAAGCGUGGGUAGCAAACAGGAUUAGAUACCCGAGUAGUC
This 465-nucleotide ribosomal RNA is filed under the name Vreelandella stevensii. Its description in RNAcentral is "partial 16S ribosomal RNA". It matches the Rfam family "Bacterial small subunit ribosomal RNA", at positions 338 to 795 of the family's 1533-position model. Lineage: Bacteria; Pseudomonadati; Pseudomonadota; Gammaproteobacteria; Oceanospirillales; Halomonadaceae. The record is from RNAcentral.